GAGGGUAUAGCUCAGUGGUACAGUGCAUGCUUAGCAUGCACGAGGUCCUGGGUUCAGUCCCCAGCACCUCCA
RNAcentral lists this transfer RNA (72 nucleotides) under Camelus ferus (Wild Bactrian camel). It matches the Rfam family "tRNA". From Rfam's summary of the family: Transfer RNA (tRNA) molecules are approximately 80 nucleotides in length. The record is from Rfam by way of RNAcentral. Lineage: Eukaryota; Metazoa; Chordata; Mammalia; Artiodactyla; Camelidae.